This 449-nucleotide ribosomal RNA is filed under the name uncultured bacterium. Its description in RNAcentral is "partial 16S ribosomal RNA". It matches the Rfam family "Bacterial small subunit ribosomal RNA", at positions 29 to 523 of the family's 1533-position model. The record is from RNAcentral.
AACGAACGCUGGCGGCAUGCCUAACACAUGCAAGUCGAACGAGAUCUUCGGGUCGAGUGGCGCACGGGUGCGUAACGCGUGGGAAUCUGCCCUUUGGUUCGGAAUAACAGUUGGAAACGACUGCUAAUACCGGAUGAUGACGAAAGUCCAAAGAUUUAUCGACAGAGGAUGAGCCCGCGUAGGAUUAGCUAGUUGGUGUGGUAAAGGCGCACCAAGGCGACGAUCCUUAGCUGGUCUGAGAGGAUGAUCAGCCACACUGAGACUGAGACACGGCCCAGACUUCUACGGGAGGCAGCAGUGGGGAAUAUUGGACAAUGGGCGAAAGCCUGAUCCAGCAAUGCCGCGUGAGUGAUGAAGGCCUUAGGGUUGUAAAGCUCUUUUACCCGGGCUGAUAAUGACAGUACCGGGAGAAUAAGCUCCGGCUAACUCCGUGCCAGCCGCCGCCGUAA